CACGGGUGAGUAACACGUGAAUCAUCUACCUUCGAGUGGGGAAUAACUGGGAGAAAUCUCA
Molecule: ribosomal RNA, 61 nt
Filed under: uncultured Rhizobium sp.
Lineage: Bacteria; Pseudomonadati; Pseudomonadota; Alphaproteobacteria; Hyphomicrobiales; Rhizobiaceae
Description: partial 16S ribosomal RNA
Source: RNAcentral